AACUGCGAGUGAAGCGGGAAAAGCUCAAAUUUAAAAUCUGGCGGUCCUUGGCUGUCCGAGUUGUAAUUUAGAGAAGCGUCUUCCGCGCCGGACCGUGCACAAGUCUCCUGGAAUGGAGCGUCGUAGAGGGUGAGAAUCCCGUCUUUGGCAUGGACACCCGGUGCUUCUGUGAUGCGCUCUCGAAGAGUCGAGUUGUUUGGGAAUGCAGCUCAAAAUGGGUGGUGAACUCCAUCUAAAGCUAAAUAUUGGCGAGAGACCGAUAGCGAACAAGUACCGUGAGGGAAAGAUGAAAAGCACUUUGGAAAGAGAGUGAAACAGUACGUGAAAUUGUUGAAAGGGAAACGCUUGAAGUCAGUCGCGUUGACCGAGACUCAGCCUUGCCUUGGCUUGGUGUACUUCUCGGCUUGACGGGUCAGCGUCGAUUUUGCCCCUCGGAUAAUGGCAAGGGAAAGGUGGCACCUUUGCGGGUGUGUUAUAGUCUCCUGUCGCAUGUGAGGGGUGAGAUCGAGGAACUCAGUGCGCGCCUCUGGCGUCGGGGCCUUUUG
RNAcentral lists this ribosomal RNA (545 nucleotides) under Lactarius sp. HL-2018v. Its description in RNAcentral is "LSU rRNA". It matches the Rfam family "Eukaryotic large subunit ribosomal RNA", at positions 85 to 634 of the family's 3401-position model. The record is from RNAcentral. Lineage: Eukaryota; Fungi; Basidiomycota; Agaricomycetes; Russulales; Russulaceae.